CAUCCUCCUAAAAAAAUACAAAUCCUAGCCGCCCCUAAUUCCCUGAUGCUCUGAAGAGAGAAUAAUUCGCCCACCUUCCUCUCACACGCUUUUUCUCUUCUCACGUCUCUCUGAUUUCAUCGACACAUACAUUCAAAACAAGGACGAGAGAUGAAAAACGGAUUUGAAAACUAAAAUGACACUCUAAGAUCUGAAACAAGAGGCUCUCUGUUAAUUUCUGGUUUUAAGGAGAAUUCAGAUUCAAAUCGUUAUUCGAUUCCGCUGGUUUUUGCUGUUUCUGGAAUUGCCGAGUUCCGUUCGAGUUUGCUUCUGCCUUUAUUUGGUUUAUUCUAGCUUUUCUUUGUUCAACCAGUUGGCAGAAUUGAUAAAGAAAGGAUUUGUUCAAGUUGGAGAUGUAAGCAAGGUAUUAUGUGAAGAUCUCAGUCGAUAACAUGAGCAAGUUGGCAAUCGACGGAGCUGCGAUUGUAAUGCAACCGUGAAACGAAAAAACGACAUCAGAACCAGUGUUGUGAAAAGCGGGCGCUUCCUCGCUUAAAGAGAAAAGCGAAGCGAGGUGACCCAACCACCGCUUCUGCUAUCUGAAGCGUAGUAGGUAUUCAAAAGCGGUCGCUUCCCACUAAAAAGCGAGAAGCGGCGAUGCGAAGCGAGGCGACUGAAGCGAGCGCUUCUCUGUUUUAAAGGGCUGCCAACCUUUUUAAUUAAAAAAAGUUGUUCUUUUAUUAAAACAUAUCGACCAGCAGCAACAGAGAAAGAAAGAGGCGACUAGAAUUCCAAGUUUUCUACACUUUUCAACUUCAAGAUCAUCAAGUUUAGUCCAGUUAUACUGCCCUUUUUCGUAAUUGAUGAAGAAGAAGAAGUUGAAGAAGAUGACGAGCAAUAUAAUAAUGAUAGUGGAAUACAAGAAUUUGAUAAUCUUG
Molecule: long non-coding RNA, 917 nt
Organism: Nicotiana tabacum (common tobacco)
Lineage: Eukaryota; Viridiplantae; Streptophyta; Magnoliopsida; Solanales; Solanaceae
Source: RefSeq, a predicted model, not a curated record